This is a long non-coding RNA of Triticum aestivum (bread wheat), 1226 nucleotides long. RefSeq lists it as uncharacterized. NCBI's taxonomy places the organism in Eukaryota, Viridiplantae, Streptophyta, Magnoliopsida, Poales, Poaceae. The record is from RefSeq and is a predicted model, not a curated record. The transcript is spliced from 3 exons.
UCCAUACGUCUGAUUUUAUUAUUUGGGAGCGGAUCAAAUCGGCGGCUCGAGCGGCGGCGGCGGCGGCUCGAGCUUGCAGGGGCUAGGGGCAGAUCCGGAGGCCGGGGUCGCCGGUGACGACGAGGAAGGCGGAGCACGGGCGGAUCCAUGGCAUCCGCGGCUCCUGGGCAGAAAGGAGACAGGGAGGCCAGGGAGAGAAGAAGGAAGAAAGGAGGGGUUGUGCGGCGACCUAGAGAGGAGCUCGCCGGAGCUGGGCGAAGGCGGACUGGCGCGGGAGACGGAGGGGUCCGGCGCGGCGGCGCGAAGUCCUUGCAGGUGCAGGCAGGCGUCGAAGCAGAGGACGAGAGGAUCCCCUGAUCCAUCCCCUCCUACCCAUCCAGCCCUUCCUCGAUGGCCCACGUGCGACGAGCCCCUACGCGGGGUAAGAAGGGGGAUCACACGAGGUGGAGCACUCCAGCCCCCUCCUAGCCCUACCACGAUAAACUAUUGUUCACUAAACUGAGCAGCUAGCUACUGGUGUCUCAAAGAUUAAGCGCAGAAAUUUGUUGAAGCUAAAGAUGAAGAGGAACUCGUGGAAGAGGAAAAGAAAUGCCAUGGUAGAAAUUCAUUCACACAUAUCAGGGUCAUAGUGAGAGGAUUGAUCUGCUUGAUUCGCUCCUGAUGGUCGGUGGAUUGUUUCUGGUAAGGCUAAGAGUUCUGUGAAGGUAAGAUUUUGAUCCAACCUAUUAAGCAGUACCACACAAAUUACAGGAGAAUCUGUUGUUUGGUCCAACUUAUAAAGGUGCCAUAUAUGCUCAGUUGCUCACAACAGUGCUAAUAUUAACAAGGUGAAUAAACUCACGCUCUAGCGGAAGAUAUCCUUUAUAUUUUUGGGGUCACUGAUACCUGUACAAAAACAUAAGAUGUGUUCCUAGAUAACAUCUUUCCUCCAAAAUAAUUUAUAUAUCAUCUAGACUUGGUUAGUUGUAACUUUUGCUUUCUAUUCUUUCCACAAGCUUCUGUAGGUUCAAAUGACAAUUGUUAAAUUUUGGGACCUUAAGACUUUUUAGUUGAUUGCAUCCUCUAGACCGGGAGGUAUAAUAGCAUAUCCUAAUUGUCUAAUUGAUGAUUCAGAAAGCUCUGGCUCUACUCAUGUAUAUCAGUUUAUAUUCAGAUUGUGAAGUACUCCUUCUAUAAAGAAAUAUAAGAGAGUUUAGUUCUAUAAAACAUAUUUAUAUGCAGUUAUC